CCUUCCCUCUUUCUUCGUGCUUAACACAUGCAAGUCGAACGGAAAGGCUCCUGCUUGCCGGGGUACUCGAGUGGCGAACGGGUGAGUAACACGUGGGUGAUCUGCCCUGCACUUCGGGAUAAGCCUGGGAAACUGGGUCUAAUACCGGAUAGGACGAUGGUUUGGAUGCCAUUGUGGAAAGGUUUUUCGGUGUGGGAUGAGCUCGCGGCCUAUCAGCUUGUUGGUGGGGUAAUGGCCUACCAAGGCGUCGCCGGGUAGCCGGCCUGAGAGGGUGUACGGCCACAUUGGGACUGAGAUACGGCCCAGACUCCUACGGGAGGCAGCAGUGGGGAAUAUUGCACAAUGGGCGCAAGCCUGAUGCAGCGACGCCGCGUGGGGGAUGACGGCCUUCGGGUUGUAAACUACUUUCGCUAGGGACGAAGCGCAAGUGACGGUACCUGGAGAAGAAGCACCGGCUAACUACGUG
RNAcentral lists this ribosomal RNA (466 nucleotides) under uncultured bacterium. Its description in RNAcentral is "partial 16S ribosomal RNA". It matches the Rfam family "Bacterial small subunit ribosomal RNA", at positions 36 to 507 of the family's 1533-position model. The record is from RNAcentral.